RNAcentral lists this transfer RNA (73 nucleotides) under Mus musculus (house mouse). RNAcentral describes it as "tRNA-Ser". Lineage: Eukaryota; Metazoa; Chordata; Mammalia; Rodentia; Muridae. The record is from RNAcentral.
GGAGAGAUGGCUCAGAGGUUAAGAGCACUGACUGCUCUUCCAGAGGUCCUGAGUUCAAUUCCCAGCAACCACA